Long non-coding RNA from Rhinolophus ferrumequinum (greater horseshoe bat), 267 nucleotides. RefSeq lists it as uncharacterized. The record is from RefSeq and is a predicted model, not a curated record. The transcript is spliced from 3 exons. Lineage: Eukaryota; Metazoa; Chordata; Mammalia; Chiroptera; Rhinolophidae.
CAGAAAGCUGGGCUUGCUGAUAAAAUGAGCAGAAAUGCGCGAAGCCGACCCACUUGCAGGCAUAAAGAGGUCCUGGUCAAGAAAGUAGGCACUGGGAAAAUGAGGGAGAAGAUAAAGGGCAGAAGCUGAGUCCUUCUUCCUAUCAUGGGUGUGAUUCCUCUGGAAAGACUGAAGUAACAAGCCAUGACCAUCUUUCCUCACAAGAUUCUGCACCGGGAAACUAAGAACAUCACUGUGUCAGAGAGUAGAACAGAGACUCACCAUGCU